Molecule: ribosomal RNA, 370 nt
Filed under: Bathymodiolus azoricus
Lineage: Eukaryota; Metazoa; Mollusca; Bivalvia; Mytilida; Modiolidae
Description: SSU rRNA
Rfam family: Eukaryotic small subunit ribosomal RNA
Source: RNAcentral
AUGCAUGUCUAAGUACAUACUUUUACAUAGUGAAACCGCGAAUGGCUCAUUAAAUCAGUUAUGGUUCCUUAGAUCGUACAAUCCUACUUGGAUAACUGUGGUAAUUCUAGAGCUAAUACAUGAUCCAAAGCUCCGACCCUUCGGGAAAGAGCGCGUUUAUUAGAUCAAAACCAGUCGGGUCGCAAGGCCCGUCACAUUGGUGAUGCUGGAUAACUUUGUGCUGAUCGCACGGCCUCGAGCCGGCGACGUAUCUUUCAAAUGUCUGCCCUAUCAACUUUCGAUGGUACGUGAUAUGCCUACCAUGGUUGUAACGGGUAACGGGGAAUCAGGGUUCGAUUCCGGAGAGGGAGCAUGAGAAACGGCUACCACA